GUAUAAAAAGCGAAACAUCGCAUGCGAUUUCGGCUCGUAUUUUGAGAUAGCACAUCUCUUUAUACU
Molecule: transfer RNA, 66 nt
Filed under: Eualetes tulipa
Lineage: Eukaryota; Metazoa; Mollusca; Gastropoda; Littorinimorpha; Vermetidae
Description: tRNA-Arg
Source: RNAcentral